RNA transcript from Acanthopagrus latus (yellowfin seabream), 1576 nucleotides. It is a transcript of the gene named survival motor neuron protein-like, with no coding region annotated. The record is from RefSeq and is a predicted model, not a curated record. Lineage: Eukaryota; Metazoa; Chordata; Actinopteri; Spariformes; Sparidae. The transcript is spliced from 9 exons.
UUGGCCUGUGUUCCAGGAGAACAUUUAUUUUUGAAAUGUCCGACCGGAAGCUCUCUUUUCACAUCCGGGUAUGUUGACGCAGUUCGCGGUUAAAUGUCUACCUUUGUGAAAUAAGCGAGUUAAAGAGAUGACAGCCAUGACUGAGCUGUCCGAGGAGGCGGUCUCCGUCACGGCGGCUGAAGAUCAAAUUUCUCUCAUAGAAACGUUUAAGAAAACGUUGGACAUUUUACAGGAUGUAGGACUGACAGACAGCAAACUGGAGCUGGAAGAAGGGAACCAGGAUGGAGAGAGAGACGGGCAGCAGGAUGGAGAGAGAGACGGGCAGCAGGGUGGAGAGAGAGACGGGCAGCAGGAUGGAGAGAUGGUCAGUUCACCUGUAGCUGAGUCCACCAGCUCAGAGCAGUGGGUGGUGGGUGCUGAGUGUCGGGCAGUGUGGGUGGAGGACGGGCGGCUGUAUCCGGCGAAGUUGGUAUCUUUGGACGGAGAGCGCUGCAGAGUCCGUUUCCAUGGCUACAACAAUGAGGAGGAAGUGGAACUGAGCACGCUCCAUAGUCCAGAUGUUGCUGUGCAACAGCAGAGACAAAACUCUCAGGUGGUCUGUGUGAAUCAGAACUGGAGAGCUGGUUCUCAGUGUCGGGCCAUGUAUUCAGAGGAUGGUUUGGUGUAUCCGGCCGUGGUUCUGUGGGUCAAAGGUCAGCGCUGCCGCGUUCGCUUCAACGACUACAACAACGAGGAGGAACAGGACAUCAGCAGCCUGCUGAGCCUCGACGAGCUACAUGGACCCAGCAAAGCCACUGCGGCCAAGCUGAGGAGGACGAGUGUGUUGUUCAUCUGAUCUCUGACUCGUUCUGGGUUGGGCUGUCAGAACCACACUGAAUUACACUGCAGGUCAGCAGCAGCUCUGACUGGAAGAGGAGCAGCAGCAGGAGGAGGGAGGACAACCAGGAGGAAGGAGGAGGAGAGAGGAGCAACACUACUCUUCAUCUGAGGUCAAAGAGCAAGGGCAGAAAGUGAUGGGAACAGAGAUACCGACCAAUCACAGCUUCUCUUUCUUCCCUGCAUUUCCUCCUCCUCCUCGGUUGGGCUCUGCGGUAAAACUGACACUAUCAUGUUUAUUGAUCUGAUUAUAAUUGAUGAAAUCUUCUCUGUUGACUUGGCUCCUCUCUCUGAAGGACUCUGUGACCUUCAUCCCUCCUCCUCCUCCUCCUCCUCCUCUCGGCAGCGAUGCCACCUCCAGCAUGUUGAUGCUGUGGUACAUGUGUGGCUUCCACACGGGCAGCUACAUGGCUCAGCAGUUCAAGUCAAGCUCCAAACACUGAGUUUUUCUGCUUGGAAGCCAGAGAGGAUUAUGGGAAGAGACUGAGCUGUGGCGUCCUUCAUUCAGAGUACCAUUUGUGCAGUUUUUGUAUCUUUUGAAAACCUUUUAUUUGUUGUUUGAUGUUUACAGUUUACUGUGUGUUCACAGUUUAAGAUGUUUGUGUUGAGAGGUUCAGGGUUGCUCUGUAAAUCUGAACUCUGCUGUUAGAAAUGAAAUGAAGAAGUAUUUUGUUAUUAAACAGAAAGAUGGAUCCUAAAA